CUGAGGCUGUUGAGGAUUAAGCAUUAAUUUUAUCAGUUUGAUUCACAGCGGUGUUAGAA
Molecule: microRNA precursor, 59 nt
Organism: Oreochromis aureus
Lineage: Eukaryota; Metazoa; Chordata; Actinopteri; Cichliformes; Cichlidae
Source: Ensembl